RNAcentral lists this ribosomal RNA (464 nucleotides) under uncultured bacterium. Its description in RNAcentral is "bacterial SSU rRNA". It matches the Rfam family "Bacterial small subunit ribosomal RNA", at positions 93 to 550 of the family's 1533-position model. The record is from RNAcentral.
GAGCGGCGACGGGUGAGUACAUAUCGGAACAUAUCUAUAGUGGGGGAUAACGCAGCGAAAGCUGUGCUAAUACCGAUGAGAUCGUAAGAUGAAAGCGGGGGCUCGCAAGACUCGCGCUAUUGGAGUGGCGAUAUCAGAUUACUAGUUGGUGAGGUAAAGGCUCACCAAGGCGAUGAUCUGUAGCUGGUCUGAGAGGAUGAUCAGCCACACUGGAACUGAGACACGGUCCAGACUCCUACGGGAGGCAGCAGUUGGGUGGGAACAUUCUUUGCGAACAAUGGGGGCAACCCUGAUCCAGCCAUUCCGCGUGAGUGAAGAAGGCCUUCGGGUUGUAAAGCUCUUUUGUCGGGGACGAAACGGUUUUGGUUAAUAACCAAGACUACUGACGGUACCCGAAGAAUAAGCACCGGCUAACUACGUGCCAGCAGCCGCGGUAAUACGUAGGGUGCGAGCGUUAAUCGGAA